UUUGUUCUCGUUACAGCACAAAUUGUGAACGGUCUCCACGGCUUUCGACGUUGACUUCAGCUCGUCCUUGUUGAUGCCCACGCGCUUGUUCUGAGAACACGAUGCGAGUCCGUGAAUCCCGAUGGCAUGCGUGGCCUUGCAGGUCUCAACCACGCUUGCUGCAUAGGCCAAGAUAUGGAUGUAUUUGUGCUUGUGGUCCUGGUUGAUUCUGGCCCCCGGCUUAAAGAGCGACUGCAUGAACAGGUCCAGGAAGGCCGGCACGCGGAUCUGAGGGGACACACCACAUCAUUGGAAAGGAAUGCACGAAACAGAUAUCAGACUUACGGAAGUGAAGUGAUGGAGACCUUUACCAAAAAGCCAAUACGGUCUUGCAGAAGAGACAGACCGCCCCCAACCAAACCAAAAUAACUCUUGCUCAUCAACACUCUGAUCGUUUUCGUGACUCUAGUACUCUUCCUACCUUAACAGUGAAGUUAAGCAUCAAACAGUCUGGAUGGGCUUCAGCCAGUUUGUAAAAAAGAUCUCUCCACGUGGUAUGUGCAAUCAUUUGUUCAAGCCAAGCUGGGGUCUGCCAACAAACAGACAGCAAGAUAAAAGGCCUAGCUUGAGCUUAAGUGAAGACGACAUCGUGUAAACAGUCGCUGGCUAUUCCAGCUAGAAACGCCCCGAGAGCAUCUAGCUCCAGGCCCGCAGGCCCAGCAGCGGAGGCAGGCCCAGAGCUGGCGCUGCCACGCGGGACGCUGAGUGGCAGCGCUAGAGCCCUGAAGGCCCACUCACAGCUUCUGGAAGCCUCAACUGCACACGAGAGCAUACGGAAGGCGCGUCUGGGAGACACGCGGGCGGCCAGGGAAGCACAGGGAGGAUGGCGCUGCAGCAGACGCACACGUCACGCACGUCCAUCAGCUGCGUGCCCUCGGUACGAGGAAAAGGCCAUUGGGUAGUGCGGUGGUUCUGUCCAUCACCACGUGUGGUGGCCACAGCUCCCCUCCUGAGUGACUGACAGACCCCGGGGCUGACUCUGAGUCCACCUCCCAUUUGCGCCAAGGCCAGGCUGCUCACGGGACACUGCCAGCCACCAACUGUGUGGCAGGGCUCCUCAGGCAGGCCUGUUCCCAGGAGACCUGGGGCUCAGUGACAGGCGACGGUGGCUUGAAGACGCCCCACGGACACCGCAGAAACUUUCUGAAAGCUGCGCUGUCGCCUAGGGCUCUCCGUCCCCCACCUUCCUUCCCUCCCUCCCUCCUGCCUUCGGGGGGCCACACCCACAGCCCCACUCAUCUUCUCUCACACACACACAACCCCGUCCUGGCAUCUGCCUCUAGGGCGCCGGGAUGGUGACAGCACUCUGCUCAGCGCCUGUGCUCGAGAGUCAGCAGGACACGGGAGCUGCGAAUCUGCUCUUCCUCCCCAGCUCACGACCUGUGCGCCCCUCAGCCCGCCGGAGCUUGCCACGCUGCGCGGGGCACUCAGAGGGCAGCUCCAACUCAGCGCGACUCGCCUCACACCCUGACGUUAGGGCCCGACUCCUUACGUUACGCACACAACGCAGCACACUCCACUAUGUGUGGGAUGAGCAAAAGACCCAAAAAACCCGCAUGAGAAAAAGAAGACAGACUCCUCACCUCUCCU
This is a long non-coding RNA of Ailuropoda melanoleuca (giant panda), 1629 nucleotides long. RefSeq lists it as uncharacterized. NCBI's taxonomy places the organism in Eukaryota, Metazoa, Chordata, Mammalia, Carnivora, Ursidae. The transcript is spliced from 3 exons. The record is from RefSeq and is a predicted model, not a curated record.